CCUACGGGGGGCAGCAGUGGGGAAUCUUGCGCAAUGGGCGAAAGCCUGACGCAGCAACGCCGCGUGUGUGAUGAAGGUCUUCGGAUCGUAAAGCACUGUCGCGAGGGACGAAUAAGGGGCGGGCUAACAUCCCGUUCCGAUGACGGUACCUCGAGAGGAAGCACCGGCUAACUCUGUGCCAGCAGCCGCGGUAAUACAGAGGGUGCAAGCGUUGUUCGGAAUUAUUGGGCGUAAAGCGCGUGUAGGCGGCUCAGCAAGUCAGGUGUGAAAGCCCUCGGCUUAACCGAGGAAGUGCGCCUGAAACUACUGAGCUUGAGUGACGGAGAGGGUGGCGGAAUUCCCGGUGUAGAGGUGAAAUUCGUAGAUAUCGGGAGGAACACCAGUGGCGAAGGCGGCCACCUGGACGUCUACUGACGCUGAGACGCGAAAGCGUGGGGAGCAAACAGGAUUAGAUACCCCAGUAGUC
RNAcentral lists this ribosomal RNA (466 nucleotides) under uncultured bacterium. RNAcentral's name for it is "bacterial SSU rRNA". It matches the Rfam family "Bacterial small subunit ribosomal RNA", at positions 338 to 795 of the family's 1533-position model. The record is from RNAcentral.